UUCAGAUUAUAUUUUUGUCUUCUCCUUGAUGCUUUGCUGGUGAGGGAAACGAUGAAUUCGAAGAACAUAUAUGGCGAGUGGUGUGGCGACUCUCUUAGGUUCUGAGUAUGUGCCGAAGGUGGACCUCUGAAAGUGAAAACCCCUAUAAAAAGCUUUUAGUGAGAAGGCACCACUAACUUGAUGUACGAAGAAAAGAUGAUGCGUAUAUACUAUUAUGAAGAGUGGACGAAUCACAGAUAGUAUAUGAAUACAGGGUCGGUCGUGGAGACAUGCACAUACAAAAAUGGAAAAGAAAUGCAAUACUUUCGACAUUCCUGAUGUUCCAGCAAUGUUGGGCGUAACGGUUGAGAAAAGUAUGUGCUAAUUUACUAUUCUAAAUGAAGAGUAAGCAAGAAGGUUUUGAACAGUGAUAUCUUGUUCCUCUUUCUGGAUUGAAUAAUAUAUACAUGAGUUUUAAAGAUUAAUGCCUUUUAGACCACUAUCAUAGAAAACUAAUCGUUUGCUAUACGUAACAACCAUUAUAAUCUGAUUACUACAGAUAAAAAAUAAAUUACCAAAUAGAUUUCCUGGCCCCAUUUCUCUGUAUUAAGCCACUGGUGAAGAUUAUACGUAUGCAUGCGUGUGUGAUAUGUUUGUUACACGUGUGUCUCAUAUUUGUUCUCUUCUUGGAUUUAGAGUCACCACUCUCGUCACUAGUUGGAAUUUAUGAUGCUGAUGAUGGGAAACACGAGCAUCUUGAUUUCAUCUCGCUUUGUAAGUACCAAGAGUACUUCAGUAUAUAUUACUGGCAGAUAUAUAAGUUUAAUUUGUUCUUGUAGAUGAUCCCGGGUCAUGAUUUUCACAUCUUGAUAUACAAUAGGCGAAUGCUUAAAUAUAAUUUCAUUUGUAGCAUAGAAAGUCCGAGCUUUUAGAUGCGUUGGUUUGAAACUUAGGAGAAGAAGCAAUUCAGUUGUUUAGCUGAAAUUUACAAUCAAGUUGUUUUUAAAAGAAAAAAAAACAUUAGCGGAAAAGAACGGUUUCAGUGACAUCAUAUAUAUCAUAAUUAAUACUUUUGUAAGAACCUAUAGUGCUUUCCUUAAUUUUUUUAAUAUUUUCUUUACCUGCUUCUUCCAUUCAUGAAUGUGGUCCACUCUGCGAGGAACCCUAAUUCAACAAAUUCAACAAGCAAUUCGAAUCUCUCUUUUUCUAGUUUUAAUUAAACUUUUGUAACAAUUUUCUUGUUUUUUUAAACACAUUUUUAAAUUCGUCGUUUUUAGCCAUUCUAUAAACCCU
This is a non-coding RNA of Camelina sativa (false flax), 1272 nucleotides long. Lineage: Eukaryota; Viridiplantae; Streptophyta; Magnoliopsida; Brassicales; Brassicaceae. The record is from RefSeq and is a predicted model, not a curated record.